This 460-nucleotide ribosomal RNA is filed under the name uncultured bacterium. RNAcentral's name for it is "partial 16S ribosomal RNA". It matches the Rfam family "Bacterial small subunit ribosomal RNA", at positions 338 to 795 of the family's 1533-position model. The record is from RNAcentral.
CCUACGGGAGGCAGCAGUGAGGAAUAUUGGUCAAUGGGCGUAAGCCUGAACCAGCCAAGUCGCGUGAGGGAUGAAGGUUCUAUGGAUCGUAAACCUCUUUUAUAUGGGAAUAAAGUGUGGGACGUGUCCUGUUUUGCAUGUACCUUAUGAAUAAGGAUCGGCUAACUCCGUGCCAGCAGCCGCGGUAAUACGGAGGAUCCGAGCGUUAUCCGGAUUUAUUGGGUUUAAAGGGUGCGUAGGCGGGCUUUUAAGUCAGUGGUGAAAGUCUGGGGCUCAACCGUAAAAUUGCAGUUGAGACUGGGAGUCUUGAGUACAGUAGAGGUAGGCGGAAUGCGUGGUGUAGCGGUGAAAUGCUUAGAUAUCACGAAGAACCCCGAUUGCGAAGGCAGCCUGCCGGGCCAUGACUGACGCUGAUGCACGAAAGCGUGGGGAUCAAACAGGAUUAGAUACCCGAGUAGUC